This 188-nucleotide unclassified non-coding RNA is filed under the name rhizosphere metagenome. RNAcentral's name for it is "partial ribosomal RNA internal transcribed spacer region". The record is from RNAcentral.
GAGUUGCAAAACUCCCAAACCAUUGUGAACAUACCUUCAACGUUGCUUCGGCGGGUUGGCCCCGGUCUCCGGGGUCCCCGGCCCUACUCGGGCGCCCGCCGGAGGUAUCUAACUCUUGAACUUUUAUGGCCUCUCUGAGUCUUUGUACUUAAUAAGUCAAAACUUUCAACAACGGAUCUCUUGGUUCU